CCUACGGGAGGCUGCAGUGGGGAAUCUUAGACAAUGGGCGCAAGCCUGAUCUAGCCAUGCCGCGUGAGUGAUGAAGGCCCUAGGGUCGUAAAGCUCUUUCGCCUGUGAAGAUAAUGACGGUAGCAGGUAAAGAAACCCCGGCUAACUCCGUGCCAGCAGCCGCGGUAAUACGGAGGGGGUUAGCGUUGUUCGGAAUUACUGGGCGUAAAGCGCACGUAGGCGGACUAUUAAGUCGAGGGUGAAAUCCCGGGGCUCAACCCCGGAACUGCCUUCGAUACUGGUAGUCUUGAGUUCGAGAGAGGUGAGUGGAAUUCCGAGUGUAGAGGUGAAAUUCGUAGAUAUUCGGAGGAACACCAGUGGCGAAGGCGGCUCACUGGCUCGAUACUGACGCUGAGGUGCGAAAGUGUGGGGAGCAAACAGGAUUAGAUACCCUGGUAGUC
RNAcentral lists this ribosomal RNA (440 nucleotides) under uncultured bacterium. RNAcentral's name for it is "bacterial SSU rRNA". It matches the Rfam family "Bacterial small subunit ribosomal RNA", at positions 338 to 795 of the family's 1533-position model. The record is from RNAcentral.